This 275-nucleotide unclassified non-coding RNA is filed under the name uncultured fungus. RNAcentral's name for it is "sequence contains ITS2". The stretch from base 1 to 52 matches the Rfam family "5.8S ribosomal RNA", at positions 103 to 154 of the family's 154-position model. The record is from RNAcentral. Lineage: Eukaryota; Fungi.
AACGCACAUUGCGCCCUUUGGUAUUCCGAAGGGCAUGCCUGUUCGAGCGUCAUUAUCACCCCUCAAGCCCCCCUAUGCUUGGCGUUGGAUGGCCGGUUGGAUCCUCGAUUCGACCCCUCCUAAAGACAAUGACGGCGGCCUGUGGUUCCCCCGGUACACUGAGCUUUUCACCGAGCACGUGCUGGACAAGGGUGCCCGGGUCACGGUCCUCUCCCUCCACGGGAAAAUUUAUCAAGGUUGACCUCGGAUCAGGUAGGAAUACGCGCUGAACUUAA